Molecule: ribosomal RNA, 253 nt
Filed under: uncultured bacterium
Lineage: Bacteria
Description: partial 16S ribosomal RNA
Rfam family: Bacterial small subunit ribosomal RNA
Source: RNAcentral
UACGUAGGGCGCAAGCGUUGUCCGGAAUUAUUGGGCGUAAAGAGCUCGUAGGUGGCGUGUCGCGUCUGCCGUGAAAGCCCAUGGCUUAACUGUGGGUCUGCGGUGGAUACGGGCAGGCUGGAGGCUGGUAGGGGCAAGCGGAAUUCCUGGUGUAGCGGUGAAAUGCGCAGAUAUCAGGAGGAACACCGGUGGCGAAGGCGGUUCUCCGGGCCUUACCUGACGCUGAGGAGCGAAAUCAUGGGGAGCGAACAGG